GAUGAACGCUGGCGGCGUGCCUAAUACAUGCAAGUCGAGCGAACAGAUAAGGAGCUUGCUCCUUUGACGUUAGCGGCGGACGGGUGAGUAACACGUGGGUAACCUACCUAUAAGACUGGGAUAACUUCGGGAAACCGGAGCUAAUACCGGAUAACAUUUGGAACCGCAUGGUUCUAAAGUGAAAGAUGGUUUUGCUAUCACUUAUAGAUGGACCCGCGCCGUAUUAGCUAGUUGGUAAGGUAACGGCUUACCAAGGCAACGAUACGUAGCCGACCCGAGAGGGUGAUCGGCCACACUGGAACUGAGACACGGUCCAGACUCCUACGGGAGGCAGCAGUAGGGAAUCUUCCGCAAUGGGCGAAAGCCUGACGGAGCAACGCCGCGUGAGUGAUGAAGGGUUUCGGCUCGUAAAACUCUGUUAUUAGGGAAGAACAAACGUGUAAGUAACUGUGCACGUCUUGACGGUACCUAAUCAGAAAGCCACGGCUAACUACGUG
RNAcentral lists this ribosomal RNA (497 nucleotides) under uncultured bacterium. RNAcentral describes it as "partial 16S ribosomal RNA". It matches the Rfam family "Bacterial small subunit ribosomal RNA", at positions 28 to 507 of the family's 1533-position model. The record is from RNAcentral.